GUUAUAGGAUCAAGCGACGAAGUGCAUGUGGUGGAUGCCUUGGCGAUCACAGGCGAUGAAGGACGUGGUAGCCUGCGUAAAGCUGCGGGGAGCUGGCAAACAAGCAUAGAUCCGCAGAUGUCCGAAUGGGGAAACCCGGCGCAAGCGCAGAGCGCUUGCGCAGAGACUAGAAACUAGAAGCUAGAAACUAGAUAAAUUCUUUCGCGGCCAAGCCGCGGGUUUGUCUAGUCUCUAGUUUCUAGUCACUAGUUUCUGCGCGCGAGUGCUGUGCGCUUGCGUCACCGGCGCGUGAAUACAUAGCGCGCAUGGAGCGAACGCGGCGAACUGAAACAUCUCAGUAGCCGCAGGAACAGAAAUCAACCGAGAUUCCCAAAGUAGUGGCGAGCGAAAUGGGAAGAGCCUGCACGAUUUAGCAAUUGCGUUAGCCAAACGCUCUGGAAAGGGCGGCCGCAGUGGGUGAUAGCCCCGUAGGCGAAAGCGCGAAUGUGGAACUGAGCGUGCGAGAAGUAGGGCGGGACACGUGAAAUCCUGUCUGAAGAUGGGGGGACCAUCCUCCAAGGCUAAAUACUCGUGAUCGACCGAUAGUGAACCAGUACCGUGAGGGAAAGGCGAAAAGAACCCCGGGAGGGGAGUGAAAUAGAUCCUGAAACCGCAUGCAUACAAACAGUCGGAGCUCCGUCACUCAAUUGCUUUGCAAUGGAGUGGCUCCGCUCCUCCUGGAAACUAGUGUCUAGAAACUAGAAACUAGAGAAAGUCAGGCCGUGCUGGCGCACGGCGUUGUUCGUACGAUAGCAGCGCAGCUGCUCUGAAUUCUCUAGUUUCUAGUCUCUAGUAUCUAGUUUCUAGAACGGAGUCACUCGAAGCGCAAAGCGCUUGAGUGACGGAGUGACGGCGUACCUUUUGUAUAAUGGGUCAGCGACUUACGUUGUGUAGCGAGCUUAACCGCAUAGGGGAGGCGUAGGGAAACCGAGUCCGAACAGGGCGAAUAGUUGCACGGCGUAGACCCGAAACCGGAUGAUCUACUCAUGGCCAGGAUGAAGGUGGGGUAACGCUCACUGGAGGUCCGAACCCACUAGUGUUGAAAAACUAGGGGAUGAGCUGUGGGUAGGGGUGAAAGGCUAAACAAAUCCGGAAAUAGCUGGUUCUCUCCGAAAGCUAUUUAGGUAGCGCCUCGUGUAUCACUCUCGGGGGUAGAGCACUGUAAUGGUUGCGGGGGUCAUCGCGACUUACCGCGCCAUAGCAAACUCCGAAUACCGAGAAGUGCGAGCACGGGAGACAGACGUCGGGUGCUAACGUCCGACGUCAAGAGGGAAACAACCCAGACCGCCAGCUAAGGUCCCCAAGCACAGUUAAGUGGGAAACGAGGUGGGAAGGCUCAGACAGCCAGGAUGUUGGCUUAGAAGCAGCCAUCAUUUAAAGAAAGCGUAAUAGCUCACUGGUCGAGUCGUCCUGCGCGGAAGAUGUAACGGGGCUCAAACUGUGCACCGAAGCUGCGGGUUUAGAGACUAGAAACUAGAGACUAGAAACUAGAGGAAAAUCGAAUGCCGUAUCAUCGGCUGGAUGUUUAUCAAAAAGCGUAUCAGCUUGCGCUAGAAAUGCACCGUUUAUCGCUCGGCUUUCCGAAGAUCGAGCAAUACGGGUUGGCGCAGCAAAUGCGGGCGUCGAGCAAGUCCAUCGCGGCGAAUAUUGCCGAGGGGAUGGGCAAGCAAGGCAGUCCGGCGGAAGUCAGACGCUUUAUUCGGAUGGCGAUGGGGUCGUGCGACGAGACCAGAGUGUGGUUAGAGUUUGCACGCGACUUAGGCUAUCUGACAGUUGAUCUCCAGUCGUCGCUGAAUGCGCGAUAUCAGGAAGUAGGAAAGAUGUUGCGCGGGGUGAUGAACCGUUAUGGCGAAGCGCCGACGGGAUGAGCGGCCAAGGUUUUUAUCUAGUAUCUAGUUUCCAGUUUCUAGUCUCUAGACGGUAGGAGAGCGUUCCGUAAGCCUGUGAAGGUGGCUUGUAAAGGCUGCUGGAGGUAUCGGAAGUGCGAAUGCUGACAUGAGUAGCGAUAAUGCGGGUGAAAGGCCCGCACGCCGAAAGCCCAAGGUUUCCUGCGCAACGUUCAUCGGCGCAGGGUGAGUCGGCCCCUAAGGCGAGGCAGAAAUGCGUAGUCGAUGGGAAACUGGUUAAUAUUCCAGUACCGACCUAGGAUGCGAUGGGGGGACGGAGAAGGUUAGGCUGGCCGGGUGUUGGACGUCCCGGUUCAAGCGUGUAGGUGGGUCUGCCAGGCAAAUCCGGUGGGCUAACACUGAGGCGUGAUGACGCAAGGCUCUUCGGAGCCCCAAGUAGCUGAUACCCUGCUUCCAGGAAAAGCCUCUAAGCUUCAGUUCUAGGUUGACCGUACCGCAAACCGACACAGGUGGGCAGGAUGAGAAUUCUCAGGCGCUUGAGAGAACUCGGGUGAAGGAACUCGGCAAAUUAGCACCGUAACUUCGGGAUAAGGUGCGCCCCAAGUAGGUGAAGGCGAACAGCCGGAGCCCAAAGGGGUCGCAGUGAAAAGGUGGCUGCGACUGUUUAAUAAAAACACAGCACUCUGCAAAGACGAAAGUCGACGUAUAGGGUGUGACGCCUGCCCGGUGCCGGAAGGUUAAGUGAUGGGGUGCAAGCUCUUGAUCGAAGCCCCGGUAAACGGCGGCCGUAACUAUAACGGUCCUAAGGUAGCGAAAUUCCUUGUCGGGUAAGUUCCGACCUGCACGAAUGGCGUAACGAUGGCCACACUGUCUCCACCCGAGACUCAGCGAAGUUGAAAUGUUUGUGAUGAUGCAAUCUCCCCGCGGCUAGACGGAAAGACCCCGUGAACCUUUACUGUAGCUUUGCAUUGGACUGUGAUGAGACUUGUGUAGGAUAGGUGGGAGGCGAUGAAACCCGGUUGCUAGAUCGGGCGGAGCCAACCUUGAAAUACCACCCUGGUGUCAUUGCGGUUCUAACCUAGGUCCAUUAUCUGGAUCGGGGACCGUGCAUGGUAGGCAGUUUGACUGGGGCGGUCUCCUCCCAAAGAGUAACGGAGGAGCUCGAAGGUCCGCUAGGUACGGUCGGACAUCGUACUGAUAGUGUAAUGGCACAAGCGGGCUUGACUGCGAGACUGACAAGUCGAGCAGGUGCGAAAGCAGGACAUAGUGAUCCGGUGGUUCUGUAUGGAAGGGCCAUCGCUCAACGGAUAAAAGGUACUCCGGGGAUAACAGGCUGAUACCGCCCAAGAGUUCAUAUCGACGGCGGUGUUUGGCACCUCGAUGUCGGCUCAUCACAUCCUGGGGCUGUAGCCGGUCCCAAGGGUAUGGCUGUUCGCCAUUUAAAGUGGUACGUGAGCUGGGUUUAAAACGUCGUGAGACAGUUUGGUCCCUAUCUGCCGUGGGCGCUGGAAGUUUGAGAGGGGCUGCUCCUAGUACGAGAGGACCGGAGUGGACGUGCCUCUGGUGUACCGGUUAUGACGCCAGUCGUAUCGCCGGGUAGCUACGCACGGAAGAGAUAACCGCUGAAAGCAUCUAAGCGGGAAACUCGCCUCAAGAUGAGACUUCCCGGAGGCUUGACCUCCCUAAAGGGUCGUCCCAGACCAGGACGUUGAUAGGCUCCAUGUGGAAGCGCAGUAAUGCGUUAAGCUAAGGAGUACUAAUUGCCCGUGAGGCUUGAUCCUAUAACCGUA
The sequence is a ribosomal RNA, 3676 nucleotides long. It matches the Rfam family "Bacterial large subunit ribosomal RNA".